Molecule: ribosomal RNA, 253 nt
Filed under: uncultured bacterium
Lineage: Bacteria
Description: partial 16S ribosomal RNA
Rfam family: Bacterial small subunit ribosomal RNA
Source: RNAcentral
UACGGGGGGGGCAAGCGUUGUUCGGAAUUACUGGGCGUAAAGCGCACGUAGGCGGCUUGGUAUGUCGGGUGUGAAAUCCCCGGGCUCAACCUGGGAACUGCAUCCGAAACUGCCUUGCUAGAGUAUGGGAGAGGGAAGUGGAAUUUCCGGUGUAGCGGUGAAAUGCGUAGAUAUACGGAGGAAUACCUGAGGCGAAGGCGGGUUGCUGGGCCAACACUGACGCUGAAGUGCGAAAGCCAGGGGAGCAAACGGG